This is a long non-coding RNA of Anopheles funestus (African malaria mosquito), 1576 nucleotides long. RefSeq lists it as uncharacterized. NCBI's taxonomy places the organism in Eukaryota, Metazoa, Arthropoda, Insecta, Diptera, Culicidae. The record is from RefSeq and is a predicted model, not a curated record. The transcript is spliced from 3 exons.
GCGUAAAUUGCAAUUCAAUUUAAGCCAAUGUUUUAAAUUGCAUUUUGAUUUCAUCUUCAUUACAGUAUUCCACUUAUUAUGUGUGGCAGUGUGUGAUACAAUUAAAUAAACAUUUAACAAAUCGUGAAGUUUUCUGCAAGAAUAUGUGCAAAACUGUUUGUAAUGGCAACCGUUCAAAAUAUGGGCGUGCGGUUUUUUUUAUUUAAUUACAUUAAAUUGUAUUUUAUCAAAUGAGCCCAUUCAGGUGUUCCACCACUCUCUGUUGCUCUCUCGCACUGAUUGAUCGAAUCGUUCCCAUGCGAAAGAAAGGGAAGCAAAGGUUUGAUUUAUUUUUUGUUAAUACUGAUAUAAAUCGGAUUUUGGUCGGCUGUUAUGAUCAUUGAUUGUGUAGAAUUGAUUGAAAUUAACUUUAAUAGAAAAAAAAUAAUUUAAUUUAAUUUAUUAUAAUUUAUUUUAAUUUUAUUCAAAAUGAAUUAAUUUAAUUUAAUUUAAUAGAAUUUAAUUUAUUCGAAUUUAAUUCAAUUUAAUUUAAUUCAAUGUAAUUUAAUUUAAUUUAAUUUUAAUUAAUUCCAUAACAUUUCAUUUCAUUUCAUUUCAUGUCGUUUCAUGUCGUUUCAUGUCAUUUCAUGUCAUUUCAUGCACAGCAAUAUCGCAAUAUCGAACAUAUGGCACAACCCCCACCCACAAAAAACAACACCGGCAACAGCUGUUGAUACGGUGCGCGAUCCGUUUGCCUUAGCGCGGUAUCGAUGUGAAAGAAAGGGAAGCAAAGGUUUGAUUUAUUUUUUGUUAAUACUGUUAUAAAUCGGAUUUUGGUCGGUUGUUAUGAUCAUUGAUUGUGUAGAAUUGAUUGAAAUAAAGUUUAACAGAAACAAAAUAAUUUAAUUUAAUUUAUUACAAUUUAUUUUAAUUUUAUUAAAAACGAAAUAAUUUAAAUUAAUUUAAUAGCAUUUAAUUUAAUUUAAUUGAACUAUAUUUCAAUUCAUUUCAUUUCAUUCAAUACCACGCGCCGCAAUAACGCGCGCGCAUAAAUACGCACGCAUGCAACCGCACGCAACAGCUGAUCAAACGUAUGCCACCACAACGCGACACCGUCAACAGCUGUUGAUACGGUGCGCUUUCCGUUUGCCUUAGCGUGGUAUCGAUGUGAACCGUGCCGCGGUCGAGGUUGAAAUGAGCUCGUCCAGGUGGGUUUCCCCCACUCUCGCGUUUUCUCCCGCGCACUAAUUGGUCGAAGCGUUCCCAUACCGAAGAGAGGGAAUGGCAAAUGUUGGCUGAAUUGUAAAUGGUAUGUCUGAAAUCGGAUAUCCGCUUUUAUAGCAAUUAAUAUUUAUUUUAUUUAAAAUUAAUUACACUAAAUGAAAUUAAUUUCACUGCAAUGCACAUAAGUUAAGUUAAAUAGAAUGUAUGAAGGUGGUUUGAAAUUAUUUAAUGUAAAAUGUUAAUAAAUGUAUUCAUUUAUUUAAUUAAUUAUUGGAAUUAUAGUGAAGUGUAUUAAAUUGCAUAAAAUGAAAUAAUUGUUUAAAUUUAUUUAUUCAAUUAAGUGUUAUGAAAUGUGAAGAAUGUAGUGUAAUUU